Long non-coding RNA from Oxyura jamaicensis (ruddy duck), 4838 nucleotides. RefSeq lists it as uncharacterized. Lineage: Eukaryota; Metazoa; Chordata; Aves; Anseriformes; Anatidae. The record is from RefSeq and is a predicted model, not a curated record. The transcript is spliced from 4 exons.
ACAUGAAAGCACUAACACUUGAAAUUGUGAGGAUGAAACCAGAGGAGCAGAAAAUGCCACCUCAGUGGCACAAAAUCUUGCUCAAAGUCUUCCAUGUGGGAGGCAGGAAGGCUUCUGAACAAUGUGGAAGCCCAUCUCUAAAUCCUGCCUGGCUCUUUGGCUGCCCAUCUCAAAAUCCUGAAGCGAACUGUUCUACCCAAAAAAGGUGUUGCAGGGAGAGCUGGAAAGGAAACAAAGGACUUUUUGUUGAGGCUUCGGCUCUUCAGCACACGCUAUCAGCACUCCAUCUGCUUGCUGGGCCCCAGCUCCCAUGUUCUGGUCACCAAGAGUGAGUGUAAGGCCACUAAGGUCAUUUAUUUACGUGCCAAGUAAAUGCCACUCAGCUGUCUUCCCAGAGAGGUUGAGGUUGUCAUGGUGUCUCCAACAUCUUUUCGGUACAUCUUUAUAUUGUGUACUCUAACAGGCUUUCUCAAUCCUGUCUACUGCAAUUUAGCUGUGGCUUUUGAGUCUCUCUUUUUGUAUCCAUGUAAGUGUUUCCAUGUAGUUAUCGUUUGGAACCAUUUAUUUAUUAGCAUCCCCUAACACAAGAUUCUCUUCAAACAUGAUGUGCAUUGAUAUGAAAGCAGGUAAUUGCUUAAAGCUGAAAACGCCUGUUGGUGUUGCAGCAUUUAAAAAGAAAAAGCUAAUGGUUGCUAGGAUGGGGGCUACUAUCAAUUCAAAUGUUGCAUGAAUUUUGUGCUUUCUAGCACAAAAAUUGUGUGCACUUGUAAGACGUUUGCACACACAGAGAUACCUCUGCUGGAUCUAGCACCUCAAGUUUCUCUGGGGCCUCUGUGAUCUCUGGUUCUAUGAAGAUUUCUAGUCACUGUACUAAUAAAUGGUAUGCAUGAAUGUUGGGGAAGAGAGCUCCUGCAGGGCUGGUGUGCUCUGAGUGGCCUGAAAUUUCAUAACUGUUCACAAUAAUGGCCCACGGGCAGGAGAGUCUUCCUCUGCAGGGCGUGCUGGGAAACUCAUUUCUGAGGGUGGCACUGCUCCCUGGGAAGGAGCCCGUAUCGGCGCAAUUUCCAUGCACAGAAUGGAAAUCUUUUGUCCUUCCUGGCGACCGCAGAAUUGAGUUCAGAGAUGUUCCAUACGUGGUGCUGCAUUUCUCUCCCUCCAAGCCUCAGAAGUGCAAGGAAAUGUAAUAAUAAAAUGGUUACAGCAGCAGGAGCCCAGCUGGACGGGUAAUUGUCACACCAUAUAAAGGUAUUUGAAAAGGUGCAAGGAAAAAUAAACUAAAUGUCCUCCUUUUACUGGGGAAACAUAUUAUUAUUUAUGAAUAAUUUUCAUCGUUGAAGGAAAGUGUAAGAUACAACCAGAGAGACCAUAAAACAGGAAAUGUAUAAAGUGUUAUUUACAUUACAUUGGAGAAGAGGAAAUCACUGGCAGGGAGAAUGCUUUUUUUUUUUUUUUUUUUUUAAAUACAAAAUCAAGUUAUUUCGAAUUGCAUACUUUGAUUAAAUUCGGUACAAAGAAUAAUCCAUAAUUCUUCCUGCAAUAGAAAUGUGACUUGUGGUGAUGCUAAUGCCUCUGUCUCAGGUUGUGUUGGAGUCCAUGCACCACGCCGCUGUCUGAGGCUGCAGCAAGAUUCUGCUGUGGUAGGAUUGGAACAAACCUGGAGCUGAGGGUAAGGCAGUUUUCCAAAGGGUUUCCUGUGUAUAACGAGUGACAGACACGAUGUGACAAUAUCAGCCAGUAUCGAUAGCAGCAUGGCUGGUGUCGGAGCAUUAGCAGACCAACAAUUUCCAAUGUUAUGACUGAUGCAGUAAAUACGCUACCAACACGUGUGCUUGGGCUGAGAAUGUGACAGCCUUGGGUUUAAGAGCUACUUGCUCAAGCACUGCUUUUAUGCAUUCAAGGAGGGACUUCCAGCUGCUGCUCUUGGUGUGUACAUGGGUUGUGUGACUGCACCUGGGAAAAGAUACUUGGAAAAGAACAGUGAAAGAAAAAGCACUUUUAUUGUCCAUCUUAAGAAGAGUUCCACCAACAAAACAGUGAAAUAGCCUAACAUAUGGAUUUAAGACAGGUUCAUGUCACAACUCUCUUGAGCCAUACGGCUGCUGGUUGCUGAUGCUCAGAGCCCCCGGAUGCCUGAUUGCUACAUCUGCACACAGGGCCUUAAAGGCAGGGCUGGGAAGAUGAGCAAUUGCUCAGAAUCACCUGUGGGAAGCUCCACGGCUUCCCCAGAGUUGACGCCAACUAUUUGGAAGGAAUUCGCUGCACGGGGUUGCAGCCGGACUGACGAUGGGGUCGAGGUUCGGGGCCAAGCUGCAAGCAUUGAGCUGGUGCAGCAGGAUGGUGCUGUAGUGAGCUGAGCUGGCUCAGCAGUGGGAAGGAAAGAACAUGAAACUGCUUGUACCUACAGCAAGGCAGUGAGUGUUGUGGUACACCUCCCUGCUGAAGGCUGUGGAAAUCCUGUAUUUUAUUCACAUGAGAAACUAGACUUUAAGUGGCCGAUGUAUAAGGCUGUGUGUAGAUUAAAUGUCUGCACACGGUCAAUAUGUGAGUACAAGCUACUGCCUUGUACCACUACAAUACCCUAUGCAUAAUGCAUAGCUUAUGAAUAAUUUGCACAAGGAUCUAUUCCCAAACUUAUGAUAUUACAUGAUUUUUUUCACUCCGAAAGUAAACAGAGGGAAAGUGUCAUCCUUCAGGAAUAAAGGGGACAGGGAGGAUCGGGAGCUGGAGAGCUGAGGCAGCCCCGCGAGGAAGCAGCUCUCGCAGCUGCAUGAGCAGUGUCUGCUGUUAAUGCUCUAGCAAUCCAGGAAGAAAAUGAAAGGCUGUCAGAUGGUUAAAAAUCAUUCCUUUUAUUACAGCAUUACUCACUGCCUUUGACUUUGUGAAAAAUUGUUUGGAAAGCUGAUUGUUUCAAUGGGUGUGGAUCUAAAACCAAAGAAAACACUGCCCUUGGAGGCAAGGAUAUAGUCCUUGAUUUCAGUUGGAAGCACAUAAAUAGUACCUAUUUCUCUUCAGCCUUCUGAGUAUUUUUUGUGCUUCAAAAUCCCUGAAUGAUUACAUGGGUGAGGAAGCAAGGAACGAGAAACCUGCUUAAGAUAAAAAUAAGUUUGAUGCCUUUUCUCUGUUAAUUUUGGCCCAAGAUUCCUGCUGAGCCUGAAGUAAACGCCCUGUGGUGUUGGAAGAAACUGAGUAGUUUCUUUCUGUACUCCUUAUUUUUAUUUUUCCUUUUGGCCCUUCUAGAUAUUCCUGGGAGCAUAUGCUUGUCCCUGCCCACACGACCUGGGAGUCAGGGGAUUUCUGUUCCUUUUUUAAAGCUCAUUCUUUCCAGAUUUAACUGAUUCUGGUGACUUCAGAGAAACAAGUCACUUUGCCAUGCGUCGUGCACAGGAUGUAGCCAGAGCUCCUUAGGCUCAAAAGGUAAAAUUUACCAAGUUUAGUAUUAAUGAAAUCAGGAGUUGUGGGAUUUUACACAUGGGAGGGGGGGGAGGUGAGCUGUCUUGACGCAGAAGCAGCAGAAAGCCAGAGGGAACAAACAUUUUUUUUACCUAAGACAACAAGUUCUAGCCGAGCCAUCCCAAUCCGAAGACAUUUGAAACUCAGUCCUUAUUUUUGUAUUUAAGUAUAAUUUCCAUCAGCUCCUUUCCGGUAGAGUAACAUCUGCCCGAUUUUGAAGUUAGCCUUUCACAGAGGUGUAACUGCCAUCUACUGACUGCCGCACGGAUGGUCUGAUCAGCUUCCUGAAACUACACGCUUCAAUGGCUCUUAAAGGAAGGAGAAGGCUGUACGGACACCUGCGUGCACACACUGAGGAGGAGGAGGUUAUUCAGCCAGGCUCUCCCUCACUGUCCGGUGGCUUACAUGGGUUUAACUUGGCAGACCUGCGGGUGGGAGGUGAAAGCACGCCCCCUCUUGCCGUGCAAAAAAUGGGCUUCAUCAAGCAUUUUCUGUCUGUAUCUGUGGAGGCCCCUGGAAUGGAUUACUCUUCCGAGGCAAAUCUCUUACAGGGAAGUGCUGUCAGCAGGAUCUCCAAAUCGAAUUAGAAAACCUCCACGGAGGAGGGCAUUUAAAUAACCAGCUCUGUUGGUCCCUCAGGAUGUGCUUGUCUGUGAAAGCUUUCAAAUGGCACGGUCCUUUGAAAGCAUUCUCCGUUCUGCAUGAGAAGCUGCACAAACUGGGACCAUGUUAUACAAUGUCCUGCACAAGCCUGGCGGACAGUUGUUUUGAGGAGUGUGGCUUCUAAACUGCUGCUUUUGAAGAUUACACAGAGACCUACUGUAGCUGUAUUGCACCAGUACCUUUCUGGAGCUACUGACUGGAUAAACUCCCUGAGGCUGCUGGACACCUGUGCUCCAUACCCUGCAUGGAAGCUGAGCUCAUCCACAGGGGCUUCUCUUGCCACACCUCAACCAUGCAGCAUCCAGGGCUGCCCUCUGCUCUGGUUCUUUCCCCAGCUUACCCACUGCCUCCUCCAAGUUCUGCAUCAGUCUGUCCUCACAAGAAGAGCUGUCCUGAAGUAGGUCUUUCUCCUUAUGUGUGGGACUGUCUGAUGCUCAGCAAUGACAAUGGAGUACCAGACUUCUUCCAAGGAUAGCAAUGGAUGUUGAGAGCACAUACAAUAGAGGCUGCUACAAGCAUCUUAAGAAUACGAUGAGGAGGUAGGACAGAUGAGUCAGACUGAGUACACACUUUGUUCUUGGGAACUUGUGUCACUCUUAAUGUGUCUUCUAACUUUCUGGAGCCAGUGACUGUACUUUUGAUGUGUCCAAACUGAAUCAAGGAGCUGGAUGAGCUGGUAUAGAAUCACAGAAUUGUCGGGGUUGGAAGGGACCUCAAGAGAUCAU